CGGGAUAAAAGGGGGCGUAUGGAAGGUGAGUUCUCUACCAGUGGUAUAAUAUAUUAGUUGAAGAACCAUUGUUCAAAGUCUUAUCCUAAUGUACUAAAAUACGCCUUAAUAAAAUGAAAAAAAGGGAGCAUGCUACAAGCUGUGACAGCAGUAACUUGCCGUUCCACAUUCCAGUUCUUCCUGCUUCAGGUUAUUUGGUCAUGCAAACAUAAAGAGCCAAGACCAAGUUAACGACUAAUAGUCGUUGGUUACAAAACUAAUCAUAGCUAGGUAGUGGACGUCCAAAUCACAGAGCUAGCAUAUAUAGAUAAGUUAGUAAGGUAGUAGUUAACAAAGAAGGGGACAAGAGAGAAUGCAUUAUAUACUACAACUGUGAUAGUACAAAAUGGUCGGCCAUUAAUUCGGCAUGCAGCACCUACGGCAAACGCCUGUCGAUGAUUUUGGGUUUUCUUUGACUUCAGAUUCAAACCGGAGCACGUACACAGCUUUGUGGUCAGAUAUAUCCUCAUGGAUCAAUGCAUUGGCUUUGUUGUUUUGGGAUAUGCAUCCGGCCUUGUUUUUCUGGCAUUGGUCUUCGUUUGGUAAACUGGCAUGUUUAAAUUGGCGAUCAACACUCAAACAUUUAUAUAUGGCUUGCAUAUAUUUGACGUUAU
Molecule: long non-coding RNA, 653 nt
Filed under: Setaria viridis
Lineage: Eukaryota; Viridiplantae; Streptophyta; Magnoliopsida; Poales; Poaceae
Description: long non-coding RNA (SVIR_LNC004062)
Source: RNAcentral